Molecule: long non-coding RNA, 728 nt
Organism: Symphalangus syndactylus (siamang)
Lineage: Eukaryota; Metazoa; Chordata; Mammalia; Primates; Hylobatidae
Source: RefSeq, a predicted model, not a curated record
UUGCUUAUCUUCAAAUACUUCCUUCUCACUACUCAAAGUGUCUGUGUUCUCACUUUCUGAGUCAUUUUCAGUAUCUUGAGACCCCUCUGACAUUUCCUCUUCAGACUGGACUCCAAGACAUUUAAAUCGCCACAUUGCAUUAUAAAUGGUUUUGAUCCGAGAAGCUGCAUGAGCAGUUAUCCAUUUAAAAAUGUGCUCUACUUCAAUCUUGCGUCCACUGUAUUCUUUAAGCAUGACUUUCCCUUUUGAAGUACUUGUUUGUGGAACAGACAUAAUGAGUGUGGAUCGGACCCAGCCUCUUCUCCUGCAAUAUCUAUGAGAGAGGAAACUUCAUCAAAAGAAGAGAAAAAUGACCCUGAUUAAGCAUAGCUUCUAUGGCAAGAAAGAGUUCUUAUUCCAGUAGGAGGACUUUCCAAAUGAGGAGUCAUGGACACAUUAUUGGAACUGGUACAAGUCACUGUGCAACAAAAUCAUUUUCUGAUGAAGUUGAGUAGAAGUACUUUUUUAAAAUAACAAAAACUACAGCUACAAUCAACAAAAAAGCAAAAAGUUAUGCAAAAAAACAUUGUUUUAAUUGUAAAUAAGAGAGACUAUACGUAAAAUGGACCUGGAAAAGCUUGAAAAUGUGAAGAGGAUUGAACUGGCUGGCAUCUGUGCAUCUUCAUCUAUGAAAACACUCCUCAUAGACUUAAAACAAAUGACAGAGAAUAAAUUAGUCAGCUUCUUCU